AUAUCAAUAAGCGGAGGAAAAGAAACCAACAGGGAUUGCCCCAGUAACGGCGAGUGAAGCGGCAACAGCUCAAAUUUGAAAUCUGGCCCCUCCGGGUCCGAGUUGUAAUUUGUAGAGGAUGCUUUUGGUGAGGUGCCGCCCGAGUUCCCUGGAACGGGACGCCACAGAGGGUGAGAGCCCCGUCUGGCUGGCCGCCGAACCUAUGUAAAGCUCCUUCGACGAGUCGAGUAGUUUGGGAAUGCUGCUCAAAAUGGGAGGUAUAUGUCUUCUAAAGCUAAAUACUGGCCAGAGACCGAUAGCGCACAAGUAGAGUGAUCGAAAGAUGAAAAGCACCUUGAAAAGAGGGUUAAAUAGUACGUGAAAUUGUUGAAAGGGAAGCGCUUGUGACCAGACUUGGGCGCGGCGGAUCAUCCGGGGUUCUCCCCGGUGCACUUCGCCGCGUCCAGGCCAGCAUCAGUUCGUCGCGGGGGAAAAAGGCUUCGGGAACGUGGCUCCUCCGGGAGUGUUAUAGCCCGUUGCAUAAUACCCUGCGGUGGACUGAGGACCGCGCAUCUGCAAGGAUGCUGGCGUAAUGGUCACCAGCGACCCGUCUUGAAACACGGACCAAGGAGUCGUCUUCGUAUGCGAGUGUUCGGGUGUCAAACCCCUACGCGUAAUGAAAGUGAACGCAGGUGAGAGCUUCGGCGCAUCAUCGACCGAUCCUGAUGUUCUCGGAUGGAUUUGAGUAAGAGCAUACGGGGCCGGACCCGAAAGAAGGUGAACUAUGCCUGUAUAGGGUGAAGCCAGAGGAAACUCUGGUGGAGGCUCGCAGCGGUUCUGACGUGCAAAUCGAUCGUCAAAUAUGGGCAUGGGGGCGAAAGACUAAUCGAACCUUCUAGUAGCUGGUUUCCGC
RNAcentral lists this ribosomal RNA (892 nucleotides) under Trichoderma minutisporum. RNAcentral's name for it is "LSU rRNA". It matches the Rfam family "Eukaryotic large subunit ribosomal RNA", at positions 40 to 961 of the family's 3401-position model. The record is from RNAcentral. Lineage: Eukaryota; Fungi; Ascomycota; Sordariomycetes; Hypocreales; Hypocreaceae.